CACAUCAUCGCACAAGAAAAUGAC
RNAcentral lists this non-coding RNA (24 nucleotides) under Arabidopsis thaliana (thale cress). Lineage: Eukaryota; Viridiplantae; Streptophyta; Magnoliopsida; Brassicales; Brassicaceae. The record is from RNAcentral.